UAUUUAAAUAGCUUAUAAUUAGAGCAUGAUAUUGAAGAUAUUAAGGAGAUAAAUAAAUCUUUAGAUAU
RNAcentral lists this transfer RNA (68 nucleotides) under Teinopalpus aureus (golden kaiserihind). Its description in RNAcentral is "tRNA-Phe". The record is from RNAcentral. Lineage: Eukaryota; Metazoa; Arthropoda; Insecta; Lepidoptera; Papilionidae.